Molecule: long non-coding RNA, 948 nt
Filed under: Homo sapiens (human)
Lineage: Eukaryota; Metazoa; Chordata; Mammalia; Primates; Hominidae
Description: HSALNT0262212
Source: RNAcentral
CCGCAUCCUGAGCCUCUGCAUUCUGCACAGCGGGGCGGGCGCAGGCAGCACGGUGCCCCUUACCAUGCUUUCUUCCUGGACUUUCCCUUGACCAGUCUUGGCACGGCAGGCGAGGGAUUGAGGGAUUGGGGCUGGGAGGUGGGGAAGACAGCUCUCUCCCUGGGCCCAUGUCUGGUUAGAUCAAUGCUGUGGGAGCUUAGCGAUCGAAGAGGGAGCAGAGAUGACGGCGGGACGGCAUUGUCUGCCCAAGCCUCAGGCUUCGCAGCCCAGGCUGGGACCAAGAGCUUACAGACGUCAUCGAGUGCAGAUUUUGAGCGACGUACUGAGCAUUGUAAAUCCAGAUUUCUCUUCCAGAGCUGAGUCUGGGCCACAGGACCUGGACACAGGAGGGUCAGUCUUUCCGGUAAUGGUGAGGGUCUGUCUUCUUGGAGCAGCACAGCGGACUCCCACCAGGACAGUGGAUGCUGGGUACGGAAGGGCUGGGCUGAGGACAGUGGAUGCUGGGUACCGAAGGGCUGGGCUGAGGGGGUCACUUUGGCAGUGGUUCUGGAGUCUAAAUUUCUAAGGGCCUGGAACUCAGGAGACUCUAGAUGCUGAUUCUUUUCUGGAGAACUUCUCCAGAGUCACCAUCCUGGCUUGUGCAGACUCAACAUUCCACCUGAAGAGCUCUGGGAACCUCUGGGGCUGGGAGCCUUCUGGGCCUGAUGAGUUCUGUUGGGAUGGAGAAGAUGAUCUUGAAGUUAAAGAUUUCAGUGGGAGUCCAGGAAAACGUCGCAGCUGUCCAUCAUACCCACAACAGCAAACGACUCAGGACUUUGCCAAGGUCACUGCGGCAGCCAAAACCACAGCUGUGAUCUGGGGCCGGACUCAUACCCAGGGGUUGUCUGGGUUCAGGUUCUGCACCCCCGGUUCAGAGAAAGAGGAAACGGAGUGGGCCGUGUGGACCCC